This is a long non-coding RNA of Onychostoma macrolepis, 1790 nucleotides long. RefSeq lists it as uncharacterized. Lineage: Eukaryota; Metazoa; Chordata; Actinopteri; Cypriniformes; Cyprinidae. The record is from RefSeq and is a predicted model, not a curated record. The transcript has 3 exons.
CAUCACUCCUGAGUAAGAGGGAAGGGAGACAGGGAGAUUCCCAAUUUUCCCUCUGGGGUGAAAAAGGCCAAGGUUGAUGUUGAUUGCCACGUCGCCAUGUGGGAGGAUUGUACUGAGGGCCGGCCUGCCCUCGCUCCAUCCAUAGCCAUCAGAGCUGAAAUGAAUGCAUGCUAUAUUUAUUUAGGUUUUCAAAUAGACAUGCACUUCAGGUCAGAGAUCGCUGAGAAAGUCUGUCUCGAACCGUUAAGGAGGAGAAGAUUUCCUCAGCUGAUUUAUGAAGAUGAAAAUGUGAAGGCUUAGAGGGGUGUUGUGUGCUUUUAGACUUGGCAGUAUUUCUCUAUUAAGAAGCUAUGAAAGCCAAAUGGUCAUUCUUGGGUGGAGUGUGAUAGAUGAGCUAAACUCUGACUCUGUGUGCAAAUGCGCAAGCCAACAUGUCAAGUACAGAAAAGUACAUGAAACAGGCUCAAAUGUUCAUCAGAAAGUCUUGUCUACACAAUUUUGACCACUCAGUGAUGUACAUGAUGUACUGUGAGUGCCAGUGCUGGACAAACUCAUGUCCUUGAGUUUAACUACAGUUAAUCUAAUGAAAUUCAUUUCAGCAUUACUGUAGCACUACCAAGGAAUAGAUCAAGAACAUGUCAUUAUUCACUCAUUUACAUUUAUUCACUUACAUUUACAUUUAGUCAUUUUAUUUGUGUUCCACAGAAGAAGGAAAGUGAUGUAGACUUGGAACAACAUGAGGGGAAACAGGAGUCCUGGCUUCGUGCAAGCAACUACCCUUAAAUUCAGGAAGCAAUGAACAAUGUGAAAGAUAACAUUCCUCCAAACGCUAGUGUGCCAUAAUAAUCUACAGGGGGAUUUGAGACGUUGGCAUGAAGAACUCUUCCUGAAGGCAAAUUAAGCAAAGUCUGAAAAUAUGUAUCAGGUUAUGUAGCUGCUGGGAACAGGAACUGCCUCGCACUUUGCCAUCUAGCAUCUUGAGAUCAAGUUUGGCCGUGUGACAUGACCUGUCACACUCUUGAGUAAGUUCACAUAAAAACAUCUCAGCUUUUUUCAGUUUCUCUGUCAAAGAACGAACGAUAACAGGUUAUUCCAGUCAGCAGGAUAAUCUCAGUUCGGCCUGCAGGCUAACGCUGCCUGUGUUCACUUAAAGAGUUCACCCUUCUGUCACAGUCACAUAGAAAAUCUUUGAAAAGCAAAAACAGAACUAACUUCUUAAAGACUCUUCAAAGGAAGUUAACAAACACUGGAUCAAAUAAGAAGUUUUCAUGAAUGCGCCAGAGAAAUAGAGAAAGUUCGUUUCAAGUUCUUAUGAGUUCAUUUGUUCUGUUUUGUAUUUUGUGAUUUCAGCGAAAAAGACACACCCAGAUAUGUUUAUAGCUUAGACGUUGCUCUUUUAUACCUCAGUAAAAUUCAGUAUAAUCAAUAUAAUUGCGUCUCAUUUCAGUAUGUAAUCAACACAACAUUAGGUGCAAGGUAUACGAUUAUCAGUUUGUCACUGGGAAUCAAACUUAUGAUAUAUGAGAUAAAACUCAUGACUUGUGAGAUAAAAACAGUAAAAAUAAUUUUUUGACAUGACUCAUAAACUUUCUCAUAAUUGUCAUAAUUUUGACUUAACUUAACUUUUUUUCUCAUAAAUAUGACUUAGUAUCUCAAUUUCAAUUUUUAUUUUAUAUAAUUAUGUCUGUCAUCAUUUUUUUUUUCUUUUGUGGUGGAAAUGGGCUUUCAUUGGUUAGUUCAGUUAUCAUUUUUACAGCAGAUUUCUUUCACAAAUAACUUAGUCAUGUGUA